Populus trichocarpa (black cottonwood) is the source of this 156-nucleotide non-coding RNA. Lineage: Eukaryota; Viridiplantae; Streptophyta; Magnoliopsida; Malpighiales; Salicaceae. The record is from Rfam.
UUUAGAACUGGAGAUAUGAGCUGAACACUGAAUAGUGUCUGAGCUGCAUGACAAAUUCAGACGUCUUUUUUUAUGCUAAGAUUUGAACUUAAAAACGGAAGAUUUGAAUCUUUGACUCUUCAUGAAAGUUUUAGACGUAUGUCUUAGCUUUCUAUC